Molecule: microRNA, 22 nt
Filed under: Ciona intestinalis (vase tunicate)
Lineage: Eukaryota; Metazoa; Chordata; Ascidiacea; Phlebobranchia; Cionidae
Description: Cin-Mir-4127_5p (mature (guide))
Source: RNAcentral
GACAGCUCGCUCAGCUGGCUGU